AAAGAAGGUGAUAUCGUAUCGAUGCUCUGAACUGUAUAUAGUCAUAUCAGAACAUAUUUAUGAUUUAUACUGUAAACUGAGGCAUCUUGAUAUCUUGUGUAGAUAUGUGGAAUUUGAACUUUACAUGGAUAAGUUUCCUAUCCUUUGCUCUUUGGAAAUUUGUUAGAAAAAAAAAAGACCCAAAGGUUUAGUUAGAUCUGGCUGAUAACUAACAAAAUAUUGAGGUUUAACUCCA
RNAcentral lists this long non-coding RNA (235 nucleotides) under Salvia miltiorrhiza (redroot sage). RNAcentral's name for it is "long non-coding RNA (SMIL_LNC001946)". The record is from RNAcentral. Lineage: Eukaryota; Viridiplantae; Streptophyta; Magnoliopsida; Lamiales; Lamiaceae.